CAAUCCCUAUUCUCGUGCCCCAAAACAAACCCUCUCUUCCCCUCUUCCCCGUGUGCCUCCCUUCUCUUCUCCGUGUGCCUCUCUUCCUUGUGCCCCAAAACACCACCUUUUACCCUCACGACGCAUGCCACCCCCCUCCUCUCAUGAACCACCAUUCACCACCACCACUGUUCACCACCACAGCACCACCAUUCUCCCAAUGCCACCGCCUUUCAUCGUUGCGAUGCAUGCCAUGGCCAUUCGCCUCCUCUCACAGACCGCCGUUCGCUACCACCACCAUUCGCAGCCUCUCAGGACCGCCAUUCACCUCCUCUCACGACCUCCAUUCAUCUCCAUUCAUCACGAGGUCUUGUAUUCUGCCGGCCAUCACCAUUUUUUUGAGGUCUUGUCUUCUCCCAUCGGCACUUCUAUCUUCCUUUAGUUAAGAUAGAGCCUUCAUCUUCUUCCUCCAUCACUGUCGCCAUCGUCGGUCUUACCAUCUUCGCUCAUUUUCAUCGCCGUUGUCGGUCUUCCCAUCUUCGCUCAUCAUCGUCAUCACCACCGCUGUCGUCCCUGAUCAUUUCCCUCAGGUGAAGAACUAUCUAAAAAGCAAGCUGCCCAAGAAGCAGCUAUCAGGAAACUCCAGGCGCAGCGCAUACCAGCAGAUAUUUUUCUUGAGAUGUUUAAUGGAUAUCUAAAUCCAGGUAAGCCAAUUGCAAACAUGACAUUUAGGAUUUAUGGUGUGCUUAGCAUACAUACAGGUGUGGGAGCAAGGUCUUCUUUCAAGCAAGGUCAUUACAUGAAGAUUCCUCCAAAACAAAUGUUCCUCAUUCAGGUAAAUUGUGCUAAACCAUGGCUCUUCAUAAUAAUCCCACUCAAAGGAAGGAACACCACAAAUUGAGAAAAAGUGAUGAAGAAAUGCAUUCUCCUAAGAUGUUGUACCAAUUUGUUAUGAUCAAUACCUGUGCAUGUCUAAUGAUUACCUAUACCAAAUUGUAGUACAUUUGAGUGUUUUGGCAUGGAUGAUAUGUUCUCACGAAUAGUCUCUAUUUAUAUGAAGCAGAUUAUUGGCAUAGCGUUGUCAAUAGUGGCUAACUUCGUUACAGGAUGGUGGAUGUUUAGUUUGGAUUAUGGUGGCUGGUUUGGUUUGGAUUACGAUGGUUGAUUUAGUUUGAUAAUGUCUUUUAUGGUGGCUGAUUUUAAAACUUAAAUUAUAAUUAGUUUGAUAAAUUGUUGAUUAAUGGAUAUAGAUAGUUUGCUGCUUCUUGAUUGAUUAUAGUAUCAUUUAGAUAUUUUUAUAUAUAUUUUCUUAUCAGUGCCUCCAUC
Elaeis guineensis (African oil palm) is the source of this 1305-nucleotide non-coding RNA. The record is from RefSeq and is a predicted model, not a curated record. NCBI's taxonomy places the organism in Eukaryota, Viridiplantae, Streptophyta, Magnoliopsida, Arecales, Arecaceae.